Non-coding RNA from Lupinus albus (white lupine), 134 nucleotides. NCBI's taxonomy places the organism in Eukaryota, Viridiplantae, Streptophyta, Magnoliopsida, Fabales, Fabaceae. The record is from the annotation of a GenBank genome assembly.
UUAUCAUAGAUGAACUUCCAUAAAAUAUAUCAAACUAAUAAGACGUUGUUAAACAUCAAGCGCCUGUAGCUCAGUGGAUAGAGCGUCUGUUUCCUAAGCAGAAGGUCGAAGGUUCGACCCCUUCCUGGCGCGAU